RNAcentral lists this unclassified non-coding RNA (684 nucleotides) under Hevea brasiliensis (rubber tree). Lineage: Eukaryota; Viridiplantae; Streptophyta; Magnoliopsida; Malpighiales; Euphorbiaceae. The record is from RNAcentral.
UAUUCGAGUUGUUUGUUCUGUGGGUGAUCGCAAGGCAUUGACUCAUCCAGGUAAUUGAUAGAAGCUGCUACAUGUGUGCUUGCAUACUUGUUCCCAGUUAUUGCUUUAUGCUAUUUCUUUUUCCCAGGAAGUUGGAGAAUGCACAUGUAGCUUCUCAAGAAUGAUACUUCUGCCCAUGAUUCUUUAUUCUAAGUUGUAAUUUAACAACUAGUACAAAGUGCAAGAAUUGAAAAAUUAGGAAGUGAAGUACAGAGGAUCUUUUAUGUAUUAAGUUAUGAAAAUCAAUUUUAAUGAUUGAAUUGCGAGUAAAAGUCCAAACCAAAAUUGGGGCUCACCUACUCUUCUAUGAUUUCCUAUGUUUGUUUAUAUCCGCUGAUGAGAGUGCAUUGAUUAAUGUCUCUUGGAGAAAUUUUGUGUUUAGAAAAGUUAAAUGAUAUCAUAGCUAAGAAAGUAAGAAUUUAAUUUACAUUUGGAGAAAUGAAGAAUAUUUAGCUAAUAAUUUUCUUUUAUAGGUUUCUUAAUUAAUCUUUGAUACAAAUUUUCUUGUAUGCUUGUUAUUUCUUGAAAAGUCAAAUUAGAUGUUCAAUUCUCUGUUUUUUUUUUAGUGAAGCUGUAUUUAAUGUGCCUGCAGAGGUAACAGACCGGCAGCUGAAGAACAACGACGAUUUUGUUUGGCAAAUUGAA